Molecule: long non-coding RNA, 1420 nt
Organism: Musa acuminata AAA Group (dessert banana)
Lineage: Eukaryota; Viridiplantae; Streptophyta; Magnoliopsida; Zingiberales; Musaceae
Exons: 2
Source: RefSeq, a predicted model, not a curated record
UUACGUCCAAUCUGCUACACUUAAAAAUCUAGACUAUAGAAAAUUUCAAUCGCAUAUUGUUGCCUUAACCCAUCUAUUUAUAAUAUUUAUUUUUUUAUUAGAUUUAAAUAAUUUAAAAUUGGAAUCGAAAUCACCGAUUUUAAUUUUGUUUAAAAUAAAAAUCAGAACCGAACCGAACCGAUUCCGAUUUGGUUUGAAAUAGACGAACCGGACCGGUUCCCGGACCGAACCGUGAUCACUUUGUGUAAACGUGGCGGGGGAGUAUGACCUAAUUGCGUCAGAUUCAGCAGAGUAUACAGAAGACCGGUUUGGAAGAAAGUGUUGCUGGUGGGACUCCUGUGGCCUGUCGUGUUCUCAAGCAAUGGCAAAACAGCAGCAGAGUUGGUGGGAUGUCGAAGGGCUCCUCUGGAAAUGGGGACUACAAGUAGCUGUAUUCCUGAGGUAUUAUUAUUACUUGGAAGGAGACAAUCGACAAGCUCAGUGCAGGAUUUGGAUCGCUGAGUGGAGGAUCAUGCAGAUCGGUGAUGAUAAAGUCUCUGUUUCUCAUCUCCAGUUAGAGAGAAGGCUGUAACUCUCGAAGAUUUGAAGCCGAUGGUCCCAACAAAUGAUGCUUAAUGCAGCAGACAAUACCAUCGGCAUCAAUAAUCUCAACAAGAAGAAAGAAGGUUUUCAGGCAUUGGAAUUAAUUUACCGGUGCAUGGGAGAAGGAACAAGAAGAAUCAAUUAAAGGAAGAGAGAGGCACACGAUCUGCUGUGGGACACAGAGAUCAUUUGUCGAGGCGAUGAUGAUAUUGCUGAUUGCUUUUUUACGAAAAAGAAGAGCUAAUGACAAACAUCCACGCAAGCAGUGAGAGGGAAAUGACAUCUUUAGAUAGAGGGAUUAAAGGGGCCAAAUUUGAAGGACGAUUGCUGGGCCAGCAUGAGGUUUAAUCUAAUGCGUUGCAUCGAUCUGCUUUGGUAUCUUAAUCGAGAAGCAGCUUCCCAACUCUUUCGUCUUUAAAGCCGCCAUGCUUCGUUUUGUUCAUCAGAAUUGAUGAAGAGAUCCAUUUUUAUACACAUUAUCUGAAAGUUAUGAUUCUUCUGCUGCAUCUCCUGCAUGGCUGCUGCUGGUUCUGCGGUGCCGUCGCCGUCGCCGCCGCCGCCGCCAUUUCCACAUUCCACCAUGUGCUGCCAAUGGAAAGAGGAGGAUUAGCCUGACAUAUCAUGGUGGCAAUAGUUGCUGUAAGUUGCCAGAUACAAAUGAAGCCACAAGUUAGAAUGAUCAUCCAUGAAGGAAGAACAAAAUCCACCCAGAUUUUGACUUGAGAAAUGGACGAUGAUGCUUGAUCUCAUCAGUGAAGCUGUAAUUGUUAGUACCAGAAGAAGAGAAGUGAAAGUGAAAUAAAUGAAAGAGUCAGCAUCAAGAAGCUUUAUUUCAAUA